Cyprinus carpio carpio is the source of this 1249-nucleotide long non-coding RNA. Lineage: Eukaryota; Metazoa; Chordata; Actinopteri; Cypriniformes; Cyprinidae. The record is from Ensembl.
UCUUUCUCAACUAUUUACCAUCUAUUUUUGCCUACAAAGCAUUUCUGUGGAACCUUCUAUAUUGUCUGAAGUUUCUUACACAAUCUACCCUUGUUUCAUCUUGAUAUUUGUUUUGCUGUAUGUCUGAGGUUCUGCCAGACGUGCUGUGGGUGGCUGUACAGCAGACUUGCAGUGAAGUCCUGGAGCAGAGCCUAGACAAGUCUCUGAGCAAAACUGCUAAUUCAAGCUGUUUGGGCACAAAUAUAGACUGUAGGUGGAGUCAGAUUCUUCUUGUUCUGGUCCCCUCUAAUUACGUAACUCACAAGACACAGGUUAAUUAUGUCAAUCAAUGCCACAUCAUGCCAAUAGGGAUAACUAUACAAGAGCACAUGUGAAAAGAGAGCAGUGUAUACAGUGUGUAAAAAUUUAGGCAGCUGUUCACAUGAAAAUUUUAAUGUUAGAAUGCCAUGACUUAAAAUCUGUCAUUAUUGUAACCCAUUAUAUAAAUAAAAUUAAUUCUUUUUUUUUUUUUUUUUUUAAUUUUUUUUUCUAUUAGACGUAUAUCUUUGAGACUAAAAUCCUUGUUAUUUGUCCCCAAAAUCACCAAUUAAUCUUUGGUUGUUUUUCAGCAUUAUUUAAAUAAAAAUCUUUUUUACAGCGUGUGACAAACAUCCUAGAUAUAUCAGAGAUGGGUUAAAGGAAAGAAAGUGGAACAGUUUUAUGAUAAAUAUGCAGUGAAAGAGACAGCAAAUGAUCACAGGAUAAUUUUUGUCUUUUCUAAUCAUCGCAUGACAUCACACAGAUCCGUCUCCCCUAAACUCUUUGCAGAUGGCCAUGACCGGAAACUGAAACUCUGUCUCACAGAAAAGAACUGUUCUGUGACGGACACAAAUGUGGGAGAGUCAAAACAUGUGGGAUCUGAAACCAUUACAUCUGCCUAAAGUUCAGUCUUUGACAGCUUUGACCCCUAAUCAUCCCCAUAUUGACCUCAACCUUCCUUGAGGUCAACCAUCAAUUGGCUGUUGGUCUUUUUGACCCAUUCCCUGACUGAUUAAGGGAAGUGUGUUUUUAUUGAAGUCACAGGGAGGCCAUUAUGUGCACUUGCUGUUCCUUUACUGAUUCCUACUUAACUGACCAUAAGUUAUACAUGGCUGUCAGCUGUGUUACCCAGCAAAAACAUGUUUUAAGAAUGUUUUGCUAAAAUUUCAAUUAAGUUAUUAAGUUAUUAAGAAACAUUAUUUCUGAAUGUUUUCUUAAUAUUAAAAACAUC